Molecule: non-coding RNA, 6347 nt
Organism: Oryza sativa Japonica Group (Japanese rice)
Lineage: Eukaryota; Viridiplantae; Streptophyta; Magnoliopsida; Poales; Poaceae
Source: RefSeq, a predicted model, not a curated record
GGGGGGAAAAUACUGCCCAAAAAUGGGGAAGCGAAAACGAGGAGUUCGCGGCUCAUUUGCUAAAAAAAGAUGCCAACAUCCUCACCGCCUCCUACGAUUUCCUCGCCUCGGCGCCCCAAUUCAAUCCUCGGCUCCGCCUCGUCUCCGCAUUCGCAGCUUGGCGGCCAUGAAUCGAUGAUCCGCACCGCACCGCGCCGCCGCGCGCGCGGAGGAGGGCGAUCCGGGCGGCCCCGCUUUGGGGACGGGGGGUGAUUCGGUGUCCGUUUGGGCGCGAAUAGGUUUGGGGAAUUGAGAGAGGGAGGGCGAGAUGUCGACGGAGCUCGAUCGUCGCGGCUCAUCGGAUCGGCUCCGCGAGCGGGUCAAGUUCAGGUUCUCCGGCUUCCGCGCCGUUCAGGUCAAAUGUUUUUUUCUCUUUUCUUUUUUUUCCGCAUUGAGCAGCGCUGCAUUGUUGAGCGAUUCGUAGGAGAUCAGUCUAUCCGGGGAAUAGCGAUGAAUGUACGACCCUAUGUCGUGGUCUGUUGCGAGAUUGAGCAUUUUACUAUCGAUAAUGGUCAAUUGUUGUGUGAAAUUUACUAGAAAAAAAUCAAUGUUGUGACUGGUGCUAAUGCGUUGAACAGUUUUAUUACAACACGCAUUGCUUGUAAGUAAAAGAAAUGUAUAUGGAAUACUUUCCCUCCUUAGCCAUGCUGUUUUGUUUUGAUUCGGCAAGAGAAUGCGACGAUAUUUGUUUUAGAUGAAAGGUCAGUGUAAUGAUGAUCGUGGAAAGUUGGGAUGGACCUUUAAUCUGAUUAUGCAUCAUGGGGUGUUCUCAAGAAAAUAUGUAUCGCGAGGUUGUGGGAGGUUAAAUUAGUACGAUGUGGGAGGCAAGUUACUUUAUGAGCAUUUUUUGCAGGCUCCAAAUAUGUAAGGUCAUCUUUGGUAAGUGGUGACAAUUCUUUUCUCAAAUAUGAUAUUCCUAAUGUAACUAUGAUAGUUUGAAUAGAAAAGGGACAUCCAGGUUUCAACAUUUCUGCUAAGUUCAUGUAACUAUUUUUCUAGUAGCAAUUUCAUCGAGUGUGACUUGGUGUGCACAACAAUGAGUGUACUUGAGUACCGGUGCAAAAUGGAAGACAUAUGUUUCUUUCCCGAUGACAUUUCUUAUUCCCGAUUUGUCAGCAGGUUCCAGUAGUAUCAGACAGGCUGAUGCUUUCAAUAGUUGCAGUGGACACUGGAAAAACAAUUGCCAAGUCCACUAAAGCCGCUGCACUUAGUGGAGCCUGUCAAUGGCCUGAUUCCAUCCUGGAAUCAAUUUGGUUUUCCCAAGAUCAAGUGUCUGAAGAAUUUCAGGAGUGUCAGUGCAGGUUUGUUGUUUCCAUGGGAUCAACAAACAGUGGUAUCCUCGGGGAAGUUUUCCUAAAUCUGACUAACUAUCUUAGUUCAUUAGAAUCUACUGCUAUCUCUUUGCCACUGAAGAGAUGCGAUUCUGGAACAAUUCUACAGCUUAACAUUCAAUGUCUUGGAGCAAAGUCUAAAACAAGUCGAACCAAUGAUGAUACAGAGUGCACAUCAGAUGGCUUUGACAGCAUGCUGAAUAGGACUACUCAUUCUUUGUCAGGAAAUGACUUAGGUGGUUCUUAUCAAGAUGAAGCUGGAAAUAGGGAUGCAAGUUUGUCAGCAUCAAGGUCUUAUUCUGGAGAUAGUACCACUGAUAGAACAAACAUGCCUCCUAGUGACAACUUGAAUGAUGAAUUGAAUACGCAGAGGCAUAAUUUUGCUAGUCCAGAUGCCAUCCAUGUUAGUGCAGAUCAUGUUGACGAGGCCAGUAGAUCAAACAAUUCAUCAUUCAGUUCUCAAACUCCAUCUCGAAACAUGCUGCAGGGUAAUAAUGCACAACCAUCUGCAAGUGAUCUUUCUCAGUUAUCAUCAGGGGUAUCUCAUGCAUCCAAAGAUGUCCUUGAAAAUGCUGAAGAGACAAUUGAUGAACUACGUGGUGAGGCAAAAAUGUGGCAGAGGAAAACUCGCAAACUCAAACAAGGUCUAGAGACAUUGAAGAAAGUAAGUACUGACAAAUCUAAGCAACGUUCUGAGCAAGAUCUGGAAAAAAUGUGGCAGAGAAAAACUCGCAAACUGAAACAAGGUCUAGAGACAUUGAAGAAAGAAUGUGCUGACAAAUCUAAGCAACAGUCUGAGCUAGAGCUGGAACUUUCUAUUUCAAUUUCUGAGCGAGAUUCCCUAAGGCAAGAAAUUGAAGAACUGAAACGUUCUUUGGAAGAGGUAACUGCACGCCAAACUAUUUCACGAAGUCCCAGAUCUGGGGAUGCGAUUGAGCUCCAGAAAGAAGUGGAAGAUGAUGUGCAGUUUCUGAAAGAAUCGAAUGCAAGCUUAGCAACCCAACUGAAUAAGGCCCAAGAGGCCAACAUAGAGCUUGUUUCUAUCCUUCAAGAAUUGGAAGAAACAAUAGAAGUUCAGAGAGCGGAGAUUUCUAACCUUUCUCAUACAAGUGAUUUGAUAGAUCAUGAGGUCUCCCCAAAUAAUCUGUUAAUUCAAGAAGAUGUGGAAUGGGCUAGAAAAGUGUCACUAAAAGAAGAUGAAAUUCUGAUGUUGAGGGAAAAAAUAGAUCGUAUGCUUCAUGUAGAAAAUCCAAACGGUGAAGGUUCUGGUGCUAUUUAUCUUGAAUUGGAAAAGGAAAAUGAUUUCUUGAAGGUCAAAAUACAAGAACUCGAGAAGGACUGUUCUGAAUUAACUGAUGAAAAUCUGGAGCUUAUAUACAAGUUGAAAGAAGUAAGUGAAGUAGCCAAAGGAGAGGAUCCUUCUGUUCCUAACAGUGAGGAAGUGUCCAGUGAGGGUGAUCUUUCUGACAGAUUGACAUCUAAGGUAAAAUAUCUAGAGACAAAAUGUGCUGAUCUUGAGUUGAAGUUGAUUAGUUUUAGGUCUGAGUCGAGUGAACUAGAAGAAAAGCUCCAAAAAAGCCAAGAGGAGCUAAAAGACAGAAUUCUUGAACUAUCUGAUCUGAGAGAUAAGCUUAGUGGUUUUCACGCCUUGGAGAUGGAGGAAGGAGACACUGAUAGUGCAAAAUCUUACAAAUUGAAAAGUGAAAAACUCGAUGAAAAUGAUAACAAAACCGAAUUAGAUGCUCUGAGGAGUACAGUUCUACUAAAAGAACAGGAAAUAGAGAGCUUGCAGCAUUCUAAAAAGGAAAUGGAGAGCUUCAUAUCUGAAAUUAUGAACGAGAAGAAUAAAUUGGAGGAACUUUUAGAAGAAUCACUUAAAGAAUGUAGCAUCACUGCAGCUUGCUUGGAUGAAAUGCGAGAAGAACUCCUCCUUCUCACCAGCAGCAUAGAUUCCCAUGUUUCCACCAACAACGUUCUCGAAACAAAGAUUACGGAGCUUGAAAGCUGCAAAGUUAAUCUAGAGUUGCAUAUAUCAAAGCUGGAACAUGAAAAUGUAGAGCUGUCAGAGUUCAUAUCUGGACUAGAGUCUCAGUUGACCUAUCUGGCAAAUGAAAAGGAGUUAAGCAUGCUACAAAUGGAUGAGUCUAGAUCACUUAUCACAAACCUUAAAGAUGAACUAGAACAAGUGGAAGCUCAAAAGGUGGAACUGAAGCUACAAAUGGAUGAGUCUAGAUCACUUAUCACAAACCUUAAAGACGAACUAGAACAAGUGGAAGCUCAAAAGGUGGAACUGAAGCUACAAAUGGAUGAGUCUAGAUCACUUAUCACAAACCUUAAAGAUGAACUAGAACAAGUGGAAGCUCAAAAGGUGGAAUUGAAGGAAAACCAGCUAGAAUCACACAGAAGGUUGUCAGAAGUACAAGAGGAUUCAGAGGCCCUAAGAAGGUCAAAUGCAAAACUGCAGGCUACAGUUGAUCAUGUUGUUGAAGAAUGCAAAUCUCUGCAGACUCUGACAGCUGAUCUAAAGAAGCAGAAGCUGGAAGUGCAUGGGUAUGCUUCACAUCUGGAGCAGGAAUUGGAGCAGUCAAAAAGAAAGACCAUGGAUUUCUGCAAAACGUUGGAGUCCCUAGAGGCAAAACUUUCUUCACUUCAGGAAGACAUAUCUUUGAAAGAGCAAUCGUUGCUUUCAGAGCUGGAGAAUAUAUUCCAAGAGCACAAGGAGCAUGAAGAAAGGAUAGAUCGUGUACAUUUACUUUUAAACAAGAUUGAGAAAGAAAAGACUGUUGAAUUAAGCAAUCUUGAGAGGGAGGUUAUUAGUCUUACUGCACAGUUAUCUUCAACAGAAGAGGAGCGAGAAAGUUCCACAUUGGAUACCAUCCGUGAGGUUUCCAUCCUUCGAGCAGACAAGGCUAAACUUGAGGCUAAUCUUGAAGAUGUCAAUGCACAGAUGAUACAUUACGAGUCUCAAUUGGAAGAUCUGCGGGAGUCUAAAACCAAGAUUAAAGACCUAGUUGACUCACUUAAUGCAUCCAAACAGAAUGAGGAAAUGCUCACUACAGAUGUUGACAAUAUGAGAAGAUCGAUAGAAGCUGCUAGAUCCAAUGAAGAUAACUUAAGGAAAACUUUGUGUGAACUAGAAUUGAAAUCCAAAUCCAGUGAUUAUGAGAAACAGCAGAUAAUUGAAGAAAUUUCUGUACUGAAAAUCCAGGUCCACAAAAUAGCAGGCCUCCAAGAUGAAGUUCUUACAUUACAAAGUUCUCUUGAUGAAGCUAAGUUUGAGAAAGGGAAGUUGGAAGGGCUGAUUCAAUCAUUGUCUGAAGAAUGUGAAGAACUAAAGGCACAAAAGGGGAUGUUAACAGACAAGGUCUCAUGUAUGCAGGACACUUUGAAUGCUGCCAAUGAAGGAAAACAAAUUGAAAUCUCUGCACAAACAAAGCUUGUGAUGCUAGGAGAUGAACCACCAGUUAAGGAAACAUCAGAUGUACUUGAAGCUGAGCUAAAAAGUGAACUAAGUAUUAUCAGGGGAGCUAACAGUGAAUACCAACAAAAAAUAUAUUCUCUUCAAGAGGAAAAUGAGGAUCUCACAAGGAGAAAUCAGCUUAUGGAGAAGGAGCUUGACCUGAAGACAAGCCAAAACAAAGAUGAAAAUACCAAUAAACAGGUGAGCCUCCAAGAUGAAGUUCUUAUGUUACAAAGUUCUCUUGAUGAAGCUAAGUUUGAAAACGGGAAGUUGGAAGGGCUACUUCAAUCAUUAUCUGAAGAAUGUGAAGAACUAAAGGCACAAAAGGGGAUGUUAACAGACAAGGUCUCAUGUAUGCAGGACACUUUGAAUGCUGCCAAUGAAGGAAAACAAAUUGAAAUCUCUGCACAAACAAAGCUUGUGAUGCUAGGAGAUGAACCACCAGUUAAGGAAACAUCAGAUGUACUUGAAGCUGAGCUAAAAAGUGAACUAAGUAUUAUCAGGGGAGCUAACAGUGAAUACCAACAAAAAAUACAUUCUCUUCAAAAGGAAAAUGAGGAUCUCACAAGGAGAAAUCAGCUUAUGGAGAAGGAGCUUGACCUGAAGACAAGCCAAAACAAAGAUGAAAAUACCAAUAAACAGGGUAAUGAUGCUAAUGAAAAUGGAGAUUCUCCAGUUAAUGAGGUCCCAGAGCUUCAGUCAAAGAUCCAAUUACUGGAAACUAGGCUUGCUGAGGCACUGGAGGAAAAUAAAUUGUAUAGAGGACAACUGAAGAGUCCAAUGCCAGAGGGGAAAUCUGCUAGUAAGGAUGGCAAAGAGAAUGAUGAUGACAAGAUAUCACAACUAGAGUCAGAGCUGAAAGAUAUGCAAGAACGGUUACUCAACGUGAGCUUGCAGUAUGCAGAAGUAGAGGCGCAGCGUGAAGAAUUAGUAAUGGAGCUCAAAACAGCAAAUGCAAAAAAGGGACGGUGGUUCUAGUGAGAUAGGGAACUACUGCGUGCCAUAAUCGUAAGGCCCACACAGUACAGGAAGAAUGAAAUCAAUUUGGCGGCUACAAAUUGCAAGAAGCUGAAUAAUUGCAAGCAAGUGCAGAACUAAAUGAUGUCCCCUGACUGUACUAAAGGCUCUACCCCAAAGAGUAGAGGACUGUAAAUUUGGCUGAGGCCCUGGUGAACAGUGGAGAUUCUCACUGCAAGGUUAAGAAAUAACUCAUUUUUGACCAAUCACUGUAAGUUAGAGUAAAAUUAUUGGUUCAUAUGACCACUGGAAUCACCCUGGCCUUUAUGCAGGUCCAACCUAAUAUCCUAAUUGUUGAUAAGUGUAGCUUUUUUUUGGGUGAAUUAUGUGUAAGAAGUAGGUAGCAUAUAGUUCAUCUCACUCUACACUUUGUAGGCUAUUGUUUUUUUCACGUAUAUAUACACACUCGAUUCUUUGUUCCAGCAAUUACUGAUCUUCUGGCCAAGGAUAUAGCGACUGAAUAAAAGCUACCAAUUUUCUUGUUCUUGUGCUCAAGUAAA